Molecule: long non-coding RNA, 754 nt
Filed under: Capsicum annuum
Lineage: Eukaryota; Viridiplantae; Streptophyta; Magnoliopsida; Solanales; Solanaceae
Description: long non-coding RNA (CANN_LNC000459)
Source: RNAcentral
UUUUUACAUGCAUUCUAAAAAUGUAUCAAUCUAUUAUAAGAGAGUAUCAAUUGAGUAUAUGAACACUACAAGUGUAUCAAUGUAGUAUAAAAGUGUAUUAAUGUGGUAUAAAAGAGUAUCAAUUGGGUAUAGGGACUGCAUGAUCAAUACAGUAUAAAAUUGAAUCAAUUUGGUAUAAAAGUAUAUCAAUUGAAGAUAGAGACUGUAUGUGACCAAUUGGGCCAAAUGACUAAAAAAAAAAAUUAGUUUAGCCGACUGGACAGCCCAUGUCCACCUUUUCAAAUAUGGGCCAUUUUUUUAAAAAAUAAACAGUCCAUAUCUUUUUCCCAAAAGAAAAUAUAAACAGAAUAUUCAAAUUCGGCCCAAAAGUGACCGGAUUCAGGAGUUACAAACAAUACCCCUAAAAAAUACAAUUUUCCUAAAUCGACCUCUUCAUUUUCAUCUCUUCCACUUUCAUCUAGAGAAUGUUGUCACUGCUCCUUCUAAAUGCAUGAUUGAGGUUUCUCAUGCUCUGGGAGAUCUUUCUUUCUCGUUGAUAAAUCUAUCAUCUUCUUCUCAGCUCGCAGAAGUAACGAUCUUGUGUUUCUCUCUUUCUUUUUCAAGAGCACCAUUAAUCAAAUCUUUCUUGUCUAUAUGACUUUUUAAAAGUAUAUAAUACAAGUGGAACUCUAAAGAGGAUUAGAACCUUAUAUUCUCACUUUGUAGCUUGGUGUAAUUUUCUCUCUCAUUGCUCUUUCUAUGUAGAUGCGCUUCU